Molecule: ribosomal RNA, 502 nt
Filed under: uncultured bacterium
Lineage: Bacteria
Description: partial 16S ribosomal RNA
Rfam family: Bacterial small subunit ribosomal RNA
Source: RNAcentral
UCCUCCCUCUUGCUUCGUGCCUAAUACAUGCAAGUCGAACGAACCGCGACUAAGUGCUUGCACUAAGUCAAGGUGAGUGGCGAACGGGUGAGUAACACGUGGGUAACCUACCUCAUAGUGGGGGAUAACAGUCGGAAACGACUGCUAAUACCGCAUAGGACAUAGGAUCACAUGAUCCAGUGAGGAAAGGUGGCGCAAGCUAUCGCUAAGAGAUGGACCCGCGGUGCAUUAGCUAGUUGGUAGGGUAAAGGCCUACCAAGGCGAUGAUGCAUAGCCGACCUGAGAGGGUGAUCGGCCACAUUGGGACUGAGACACGGCCCAAACUCCUACGGGAGGCAGCAGUAGGGAAUCUUCCGCAAUGGACGCAAGUCUGACGGAGCAACGCCGCGUGAGUGAAGAAGGUCUUCGGAUCGUAAAGCUCUGUUGUUAGAGAAGAACAGCGCAUAGAGUAACUGCUAUGCGUGUGACGGUAUCUAACCAGAAAGCCACGGCUAACUACGUG